This 305-nucleotide ribosomal RNA is filed under the name uncultured bacterium. RNAcentral describes it as "bacterial SSU rRNA". It matches the Rfam family "Bacterial small subunit ribosomal RNA", at positions 337 to 653 of the family's 1533-position model. The record is from RNAcentral.
GCCUACGGGGCGCAGUAGUCGAGAAUCAUUCACAAUGGGGGAAACCCUGAUGGUGCGACGCCGCGUGGGGGAAUGAAGGUCUUCGGAUUGUAAACCCCUGUCAUGUGGGAGCAAAUUAAAAAGAUAGUACCACAAGAGGAAGAGACGGCUAACUCUGUGCCAGCAGCCGCGGUAAUACAGAGGUCUCAAGCGUUGUUCGGAAUCACUGGGCGUAAAGCGUGCGUAGGCUGUUUCGUAAGUCGUGUGUGAAAGGCGCGGGGUCAACCCGCGGACGGCACAUGAUACUGCGAGACUAGAGUGAUGGG